Molecule: ribosomal RNA, 451 nt
Filed under: uncultured bacterium
Lineage: Bacteria
Description: bacterial SSU rRNA
Rfam family: Bacterial small subunit ribosomal RNA
Source: RNAcentral
GUGGGGAAUAUUGGGCAAUGGGCGCAAGCCUGACCCAGCCAUGCCGCGUGAGUGAUGAAGGCCUUCGGGUCGUAAAGCUCUGUGGGGAGGGACGAACCAGCCGGGCGUGAACAAUGCCGGGCCCUGACGGUACCUCCUUAGCAAGCACCGGCUAACUCCGUGCCAGCAGCCGCGGUAAUACGGAGGGUGCAAACGUUGCUCGGAAUCAUUGGGCGUAAAGCGCACGUAGGCGGCUCGACAAGUCGGGUGUGAAAGCCCUCGGCUCAACCGAGGAAGUGCACUCGAAACUGUCAGGCUUGAGUAUGGAAGAGGGUCUCGGAAUUCCCGGUGUAGAGGUGAAAUUCGUAGAUAUCGGGAGGAACACCAGCGGCGAAGGCGGAGACCUGGGCCAAUACUGACGCUGAGGUGCGAAAGCGUGGGGAGCAAACAGGAUUAGAAACCCCGGUAGUCC